This 401-nucleotide ribosomal RNA is filed under the name uncultured soil bacterium. RNAcentral describes it as "bacterial SSU rRNA". It matches the Rfam family "Bacterial small subunit ribosomal RNA", at positions 975 to 1375 of the family's 1533-position model. The record is from RNAcentral.
CCGGGCUGGAAAAGCAUGGUAGUCGGUGGAAACACUGAUUUGCUCGCAAGAGAACCAUGAUCCAGGUGCUGCAUGGCUGUCGUCAGCUCGUGUCGUGAGAUGUUGGGUUAAGUCCCGCAACGAGCGCAACCCUUGUCUUCAGUUGCCAUCAUUUAGUUGGGCACUCUGAAGAGACUGCCGGCGUCAAGCCGGAGGAAGGUGGGGAUGACGUCAAGUCCUCAUGGCCCUUAUGUCCGGGGCUACACACGUGCUACAAUGGUCGAUACAGAACGUCGCGUACCCGCGAGGGGAAGCCAAUCGGCAAAAGUCGACCUCAGUACGGAUUGCAGGCUGCAACUCGCCUGCAUGAAGCCGGAAUUGCUAGUAAUCGCUGAUCAGCAGGCAGCGGUGAAUACGUUCCC